RNAcentral lists this transfer RNA (50 nucleotides) under Mansonella perstans. RNAcentral describes it as "tRNA-Arg". The record is from RNAcentral. Lineage: Eukaryota; Metazoa; Nematoda; Chromadorea; Rhabditida; Onchocercidae.
AGAUAUUAAAAUAGAUUGUCUAUAUCUGAUUACGGCUCAGCUAGGAUUAA